RNAcentral lists this ribosomal RNA (496 nucleotides) under uncultured bacterium. Its description in RNAcentral is "partial 16S ribosomal RNA". It matches the Rfam family "Bacterial small subunit ribosomal RNA", at positions 28 to 508 of the family's 1533-position model. The record is from RNAcentral.
GACGAACGCUGGCGGCGUGCCUAAUACAUGCAAGUAGAACGCUGAAGGAGGAGCUUGCUCUUCUGGAUGAGUUGCGAACGGGUGAGUAACGCGUAGGUAACCUGCCUGGUAGCGGGGGAUAACUAUUGGAAACGAUAGCUAAUACCGCAUAACAGUAGAUGUUGCAUGACAUUUACUUAAAAGGUGCAAUUGCAUCACUACCAGAUGGACCUGCGUUGUAUUAGCUAGUUGGUGGGGUAACGGCUCACCAAGGCGACGAUACAUAGCCGACCUGAGAGGGUGAUCGGCCACACUGGGACUGAGACACGGCCCAGACUCCUACGGGAGGCAGCAGUAGGGAAUCUUCGGCAAUGGACGGAAGUCUGACCGAGCAACGCCGCGUGAGUGAAGAAGGUUUUCGGAUCGUAAAGCUCUGUUGUAAGAGAAGAACGAGUGUGAGAGUGGAAAGUUCACACUGUGACGGUAUCUUACCAGAAAGGGACGGCUAACUACGUGC